Molecule: non-coding RNA, 21 nt
Filed under: Arabidopsis thaliana (thale cress)
Lineage: Eukaryota; Viridiplantae; Streptophyta; Magnoliopsida; Brassicales; Brassicaceae
Source: RNAcentral
UUGGAAGGUGUGCAAUGGUAA